CACGUGGGGUAACCUGCCCUCAAGACGAGGAUAACCGUUGGAAACGAUGGCUAAGACUGGAUAGGAAUACGGGAGGCAUCUUCUGUAUUUUAAAAGACCUGGCAACAGGUAUGCUUGAGGAGGGGCCUGCGGCGCAUUAGUUAGUUGGUGAGGUGAUGGCUCACCAAGACGAUGAUGCGUAGCCGGACUGAGAGGUUGAACGGCCACAUUGGGACUGAGAGACGGCCCAAACUCCUACGGGAGGCAGCAGUAGGGAAUUUUCGGCAAUGGGGGAAACCCUGACCGAGCAACGCCGCGUGAACGACGAAGUACUUCGGUAUGUAAAGUUCUUUUAAGAGGGAAGAAUGGCCCGUGGAAAAGCGGGCGUGACGGUACCUUUUGAAUAAGCCCCGGCUAACUAUGUGCCAGCCGCUGC
Molecule: ribosomal RNA, 415 nt
Filed under: uncultured bacterium
Lineage: Bacteria
Description: bacterial SSU rRNA
Rfam family: Bacterial small subunit ribosomal RNA
Source: RNAcentral